This 615-nucleotide long non-coding RNA is filed under the name Eucalyptus grandis. RNAcentral's name for it is "long non-coding RNA (EGRA_LNC006519)". Lineage: Eukaryota; Viridiplantae; Streptophyta; Magnoliopsida; Myrtales; Myrtaceae. The record is from RNAcentral.
AAAAGUCGCACAGCUGCUUCUCUUCCCCCUCCUCUGCUCUCUCUCUCCAUUCUCGCCAACGAGCUCUCUCUCUCCAUUCUCGACUCCGACGCCCCUCAAGCCGGUUGCCUCCGUCGCCCCCGACUCCGACGCCGACGACGCUGCCUCCGCCCCCAACGCCCUCUCGCGACUCCGACGCCCCCAACUCCGACGCUCCUCAAGCCGGUUGCCUCCGACGCCGACGACUCCGCCUCCGCCCCCGACGCCCUCUUGCGACUCCGAUGCCCCUCAAGCCGGUUGCCUCCGUCGCCCCGACUCCGACGACGCCGCCUCCGCCCUCAGGCCCCUUCCCUUCCUCUCCCCCAUCGCCAACUCCGUCGCGUCUCGCUGUUCCGGGUGAGCGCCGCUUCCGAUUCCUUUCUCCACUCGCUCGCUCGCAAUCGACGGCCUGAAAGUGAAUGUGCUCUUGAUUCAACUUUGGUAUCUCGUCGUCGUGAAAGGUUAGUAGCGGAUGUAGUCAUGAACUCGAGCUUACGGAUUAAAGUUGUCGAACUCCAAUGUCCCAUAUCCCGAAUCAACUAGCUAAAGAUUAUUUGCAUUCUCAAGUGAUCUGGCUUUGCAAUUGAAGUGCUUCAG